GACGAACGCUGGCGGCGUGCUUAACACAUGCAAGUCGAACGGAAAGGCCCUGCCUUUAUGGGGUGCUCGAGUGGCGAACGGGUGAGUAACACGUGAGUAACCUGCCCUUGACUUUGGGAUAACUUCAGGAAACUGGGGCUAAUACCGGAUAGGAGCUCCUGCUGCAUGGUGGGGGUUGGAAAGUUUCGGCGGUUGGGGAUGGACUCGCGGCUUAUCAGCUUGUUGGUGGGGUAGUGGCUUACCAAGGCUUUGACGGGUAGCCGGCCUGAGAGGGUGACCGGCCACAUUGGGACUGAGAUACGGCCCAGACUCCUACGGGAGGCAGCAGUGGGGAAUAUUGCACAAUGGGCGGAAGCCUGAUGCAGCAACGCCGCGUGCGGGAUGACGGCCUUCGGGUUGUAAACCGCUUUCGCCUGUGACGAAGCGUGAGUGACGGUAAUGGGUAAAGAAGCACCGGCUAACUACGUG
Molecule: ribosomal RNA, 468 nt
Filed under: uncultured bacterium
Lineage: Bacteria
Description: partial 16S ribosomal RNA
Rfam family: Bacterial small subunit ribosomal RNA
Source: RNAcentral